This is an RNA transcript of Fragaria vesca subsp. vesca, 1566 nucleotides long. It is a transcript of the gene named UDP-glycosyltransferase 74F2-like, with no coding region annotated. The transcript is spliced from 4 exons. NCBI's taxonomy places the organism in Eukaryota, Viridiplantae, Streptophyta, Magnoliopsida, Rosales, Rosaceae. The record is from RefSeq and is a predicted model, not a curated record.
AUGGAUGUCUUCAUCCUUAACCUACCUAUAAGGUUCGGCAAGGUUGAAAGGGAAAUUGGUGGAAGAUUACAGUGGAGGCAAGGAAUGGUUCGGCUGUGCUUGUGUUUGCUGUGUAAGGGAGGCCUCAUGUACGAAAUCUUGGGUUUUGAUGGCAGCCAAAGCAGUGAUGAAUUCGGCAAGGUCAAGCUUUCCCGUGCCAAACACAAUCUAAUACGAAUUAAUUACGUUCAAAUCACUUGGUACCGCGUGGCCGAGAUCAUUACAAGGCCCAAGGCAACACCAAGCCCUAUUGACUGCGUAAUUUAUGACCCCUUCUUGCCUUGGGCUUUGGAGGUAGACAAAGAUUUUGGUCUAGCCACGGCUGCCUUCUUUACUCAAACCUGUACCGUUAAUUACACUUACUAUCUUGAGCAUCAUCGUCCUGGACUGCUUAGGAGUCCAGCUUCUUGUCCUAAUAAUCUUCCUCUCGGACUGCAUAUUCUUGAGCGUCAAGAUAUGCCGUCCUUCUUUUCUGUCCCGGGCUCGUAUCCAGCUUACUUUGAGAUGGUGUUGAACCAAUUCUCUAAUACCGACAAAGCUGAUUUCAUCUUCGCCAACACUUUCUACAAGUUAGAUCGAGGAAGAGGUACGGAAGUGGUGGAUUCGAUGUCUCAAGUUUGUCCAAUGCUGACAAUAGGGCCAACGAUUCCAUCUGCAUACUUGGACAAUAGCAUCAGAGACGACAAGGAUUAUGGGGUUCAUCUGUUCAAGACAGACUACUCGGUCUGCACCGACUGGCUCAAUACCAAGCCGGCAGGCUCCGUCGUGUACGUAGCCUUUGGUAGUAUAGCCAAUCUAAGUGACAAGCAAAUGAAGGAACUUGCCUUGGGGUUGAAGGCAACCAACUUCCACUUCUUGUGGGUGGUCAGGGAUUCAGAAGAGGCAAAGCUUCCCGAUAAGUUCAAAGAAGAGACGGCCGAGAAAGGGUUGUUAGUGAAUUGGAGCCCUCAGCUGGAAGUGUGUCACACAAAGCAAUAGGGUGUUUUUUCACGCACGGAGGGUGGAAUUCGACGAUUGAAGCAUUGAGCAUGGGAGUGCCGAUGGUUGUAAUGCCACAGUGGACGGACCAGCCUACCAAUUCGAAAUUGGUUGAGGGUCUUUGGAAGGUUGGGGUUAGAGUGAAGGUUGAUGAGAAUAGUGGGUUGGUUGGGAGAGAAGAGGUUGAGUUGUGCGUUAGGAGGGUGAUGGGGGAGGGAGACAUGGGGAUUGAAAUGAAAAGGAAUGCUAAGAAGUGGAGGGAGCUGGCUAUUGAGGCAGUGAAUGAGGGUGGCACCUCGGAUAAGACUAUUGAUGAAUUUGUAUCCAGGUUGGCCAGCGUUUGAUCUGUUCUCGCGCGCCGUUGAUCGGAAUCAUCAUCGGAUCAUUGUAUUGUUGUUUACCGUGAUAUGAAACAUAAUCAAACGAUUACAGUUCCAAAAACUCAUAGUUAGCUAGCUAGCCAAGAUCCGUAUAUAUCAAUUAUUGAUUGCAUAUUUUUGUGAUCUAUGAUAGGAUUCUAAGGAUCAUGAAUUAUUGAGGCUAAUUGCA